Ailuropoda melanoleuca (giant panda) is the source of this 2587-nucleotide long non-coding RNA. RefSeq lists it as uncharacterized. The transcript is spliced from 3 exons. The record is from RefSeq and is a predicted model, not a curated record. Lineage: Eukaryota; Metazoa; Chordata; Mammalia; Carnivora; Ursidae.
CUAAAUGUGGUGUUCCUUCCUGGUACUCUCCAGUUUCCCUCGUGGGGGUCCCUCUCUUCCUUCAGAACCUGACACCCCAAGCCGAAGCCUUCUCCUGCUCACCUGGACGCCCCGCCAGUUUCCUGACCCGCUGCCCGAGGUUCUUUCCCGUCUCCGAGCCUCCUGGCCUGCAUGUCGACGGCUUCCUGCUGUGGCUUUGGACCCACGGUCACCUACCUCCUGAUGCAAGAGCCCCACCUGUGAUCCCCCGACCCCCCCCAACUGAAGCAUCCACCAGGCUUUCGGGAUCACAGACCUCCUCCCCGAGGCUCUGUUGUAGGACAUGCCUCCAAGAGUCUGGAUGCGGUAGGAAGUGCUCCCUGCCCCGUCCCCUCCGGGGAUCCAGACGUUUACCCAACAACGUCAGGAGGAGUGGGGUUGGGCGGCUCGGCUGUGUCCCUCCACGCUGUUCCCCACACUCCAGGGCUGCAGCCUGUUCAUUACUUCUCCCAACACAAGACUGCGGGGACACUGCUGUGUCUGCAGGUCCGUACCGAAGGGACCGACGUGCUGUGUCUGAGAUGAGUGUCUGCGGGAACGGUGCGGGACACACUUGUGUGCUCAGCUCGCCUCUGACCCCGAGUUCCUGGAACACGGCUGUGGACACGGUGCCUGAGAGGAGCAAUGCGGAGGCCGGGAGAGCCGGGCUGACCACGGCGGGGGCGCCGAGAGCCAGCAGCCGCCAUGGACCCCAGCCACCGCCCAUGCCCUCCCUGCACCUGGCUACACCCCAGGUCAUGCCCCCCACACACCUUGUUACUUUGGUUUCUAAACACCAGACUAUUUAUCAAGUGUUGUAACCAAGUUUUCCCAGGAAAUAGGCAGUGUGUUGGAGUUCAGGGGUGAUACCCAACUGCACCUGUUUCUCAUGGUGAAUUCUAAACCAAAAGGAGUCUGUGAGAGAUGCUUUCGCAGAGCCCUCGGGGUGGGGAGAGCCUGCCACGUGAGAAGAACACUGGCCAGGAGCGGAGGAGACAGCAAGGGCAGCAAGGAGGGCAGGCCCCAUGGAGCAGGGACCUCAGCCUUGCCCCUUGGAGGGCACUGCCUCGUGGGGGCCGUGGAUGCUGCGUCCAGACCCCCCUCCCACCGUCCUUGGGGAGAGGGCUGAGAGGUAGGCUGCACUAGGCUCUGGUGGAAACUUCUUCAUGGAAACGAGGGUCCACACAAUGUGCACUGUGACUGGGGCUCCCCGAACCAACCUUCUUAGCUCGUCCUGAAGCUCUGAGCAGUCCCUUCUUUUUGUCCGAGACCCCUUGAUUCUGGGAAGGGGACACUGCCACAGCUCCCUUGGGCUCCUUUCUUUCUGGGCCUCUCCCUGCUCUCUCCCAUUUCCCCACCACGCCGGCUUGAUGCCUCCUCCCAGGAGAGCUGCUUUCAUCAAAGGACAAGGACGGGCGAGAGGAGGCGUCCGCAGCAUUUCAUCUGUAAUUCCUGCGAUGAAUGCGUUUGGUCCGGUCAGUGGGCUGGGCCCAGCUUUGAGGAGCUUUGCAGAGUCAGGACCGGUUCUGUGUGGGUGCUCUGUACUGUCCCUUAGCAGGCGGGAAGAUGGGCCGGCGACUGCUGGAUGUCUGCAGGGACAUGACAGAAGGAACCAGCAUGUCGGGAGAGAACCAACGGUGUGCCACGCCUGCCCCUGGGCGUGUUAUGAGAUGUGCCCUUGAUGGACUGAACGCCAGAGCAUUUUCAACAGAAAGCCUACGUUGGGCCUGACACACCAAUGGGCCAUCAUCCAUUCCUGGAAGAAAAAUUAACAGAGAAUAACAAGAUCGCCACGACCAGCGACCACGAGGGUGAUGACCAGCCCUUGGGACUGCGUGUCAGGCUCGGGAAUAGCACGUCUCUCUUUUGCAAGGAAGCCAUUGCGGUCAGCCCUGUGUUUGGAUUCUGCUCUGGUUCGUGGCACCAUGGAGCUGUAAUAAGAUCCUGUCGGGCGGAUGCUGCCAAGCCCUGGGCCGCUAGGAACUUCUGCUCACCACCCGGGGGAACGCUCGCCUCUUCUUGCUGGAGCGUCUUGGGUUCAUCAGGGAGCCCGACCUGGGAGUCCGGAGACUGAGUGGAAGGUGUGGAAGGCAGACGAGGAAUGUGCACUCUUAGAACCAAGCAGGCUGGGACACAAAUCCCACCUCCUUUACUAUUCAGUGUGCGAAUGUGGACCUCGGAGUCACGCUUGUAGCCCGGUAAUGACAUGUAACCGUGGGGUCAGUGCAGAAGUUUGAGGAUAGGCGGGACAUAGACCAUGAGAAGUCAUAGCAGGGGGGACUUCCCUUCUCCGGGGAAGCCGCAGACCCCCCACCGGGUCACGGCCACCCCCGCACCUGCGUCCUUCUUCAGAACACACACCUGUUAAUCCCACGCCCACUGCCUGGGAGGGGUUAGCGGGGCCCGGAGCGGGGCCAAUCUGUCUGAACGACUCUAAGGGCUAACGUUAAGGAGGAAAAAAAAAUCCCCAUUCCUCCUCAAAAGGAUUAAUUAUUUACUCAUCAAGAAUCAAACUUUACAUUCAUAAAAUCUAAGCCUGGAUCGUGGCUCCAUUACUUUCUCAUUGAAA